GGCUAUGGCCAUAUCACGAUGAAUGCACCUCAUCCCGUCCGAUUUGAGAAGUUAAGCAUCGUCGAGCCACAUCAGUACUGAGGUUGGAGACAACUUGGGAACCUGUGGUGCUGUAGUCU
RNAcentral lists this ribosomal RNA (119 nucleotides) under Naegleria gruberi. Lineage: Eukaryota; Heterolobosea; Eutetramitea; Acrasida; Naegleriidae. The record is from RNAcentral.